CAGCACGACUAGAAGGCGCGAGGCCAUGCGGAGUCCACGGCCACGGCCCAAGUCGAGCGCCAUGCGGGACGAGGUGUCCGAUCCGUCGCCAAACUUCCUUUCCGUGCCGUGUGCGUAUACUGCGUACUGUAGAUGCAUGAUGCAUCAUCCGCCAGAGAAGGUAAAGAGAACUUAGAGCAACCUCAAUAUAUAUGGACCAAAUAGUCUAUAUACAUAGAGUCUACAUAAGUAGUCCAUAGUUAUUAUUAUUUACUCACAAUGUUCAGCCAACAAAUAGUCUAUAAAAUGGGGUCCACUAGAGAUUAAAAAUUAUUCUUUCCAACCAUCUCAUGUAUCAUGACACAAGAGAGAGAGCAUGGAAAGAAAAAAUAACAUUUUUUUAUUGCUUAUGGGUAGUCCAUAGGGCUAUGGGUACCUUUUGUUAUAGACUGCUAUAUGGACUACCUCCACAAUGUUUUAGCCAGCUGAUAGAGAGUAUUUUAUUUUCUAUCGACUACUUUGCUGCUACAUUGUGGUUGCUUUGUUUAGUUGACCCUAAAAACUAAAAAACUUUUCAAAAUUUUUCAUCACAUCGAAUCUUGCGGC
This 585-nucleotide long non-coding RNA is filed under the name Sorghum bicolor (sorghum). Its description in RNAcentral is "long non-coding RNA (SBIC_LNC016491)". The record is from RNAcentral. Lineage: Eukaryota; Viridiplantae; Streptophyta; Magnoliopsida; Poales; Poaceae.